This is a long non-coding RNA of Serinus canaria (Common canary), 1146 nucleotides long. RefSeq lists it as uncharacterized. The transcript has 4 exons. NCBI's taxonomy places the organism in Eukaryota, Metazoa, Chordata, Aves, Passeriformes, Fringillidae. The record is from RefSeq and is a predicted model, not a curated record.
GCAUGGCUGUGCCUGGUCAUUUCUGCCCCGUGUCUGGGUGAUGCUGACAAAACCUUCUCAGUGAAAUCUGGCCUUCCACACAGACCAGCAGUGACACCAGCAAGAGAGGGGGACCGAAAGCAUAUGUGCAGAGCCUUGGCAGUUUGGAACAGAGAGUGUGCUCACUUGAGAGCUCUGAAUUACUCAGAGUCCUCAGAACACGAAAUGGAGACUGUGAUGAGCACCAUGACGGUCCUGCUCCACCUGGAGCUGCCAGUGGCAGUCUCCAUCAGCUGAACACCUUUAGGUUGUUGUUCUUUCCUCAAGGCAAAACCUGCAUCUCACAAUAUCCUGAAAAACCUCUGAAGUCGGUAAUUAAGGUGGAAAGGCAAGCACAGCAAGUGCAUGGAGGGAAAAUCCCACUCUGGCCAACUGAAAUUUUAUUUGUGCCCUAAACUGGAGAGCAAAACCAAUUAAGAGGAGCAGUGCCCCUGCAUCCUGUGCAGCCUCGCUGUGCCUGAGCUGUGCAGGACCAGAUUUCUUCUUAGGGCAGCACAGCUGGGGGAAAGGUAAACCACAGCACAAGGAGAUGGAAAACAUGAACAGAGAAAGGAGGAGAGGAUGAAAGCAGCACUCAGAGUCAUCUGGGUGCUAGGGAGCAUCUGCUGUGUGUACAGAGGGAAACUGAACACAGGAACGGCUCUGAGGCUGCCACGCUGGAUGUUCAUUGCACAGACAGGACUGGGACAGAGGAGAACAUCCCCACGUUUCCAGCAGGUUGUGCACAACGUGUGGGACUUUCACAGUGGCCACAGACACCAGAAGCAGUGGAUUUUCUAUUCAACAGCAGCACCUCAGAGCUUGUGGACAGAGCUGGAGUGCAGAGAGAGCUGAGACUCUUCCAGCUGGAAGGAUUCUCCAGCCCUCACUUCCUGACAGAGGCCAUGGAGAUGGAGGUGGCAGAUGAUAAUGUAAUUCCACGCACUAACUGGGCGUUGAGGAGUGCAUCAGCAAAGCCUGGAAGGGGAGGAUUGACAAGCUGCUGAUCCAAUCCUCUGACAGUCACAGGGUGCCAUGGAAAAGAGAUCCUUUGUUCUUUGGGAGCUGGUGAGUUCCAUCAGGACCCACCCCCAGAGCCCUGGGCACAAUAUUAAUGCUGACACUGUU